RNAcentral lists this long non-coding RNA (973 nucleotides) under Lytechinus variegatus (green sea urchin). RNAcentral's name for it is "uncharacterized LOC121410502, transcript variant X1". Lineage: Eukaryota; Metazoa; Echinodermata; Echinoidea; Temnopleuroida; Toxopneustidae. The record is from RNAcentral.
AAAUGAUUUUGUGCCAAAACACAAAAAAAUUUCGUCUCCUCUGUCUAUUCAUUUCGUUCAGAUGCGAUAUCCUGUCGACGAAAUGAUUUUGUGUCAAAACACAAAAAAAUUUUGUCUCUGUCUAUUCAUUUCGUUCCGUUGCGAAAUCAUUCCGUCGACGAAAUGAUUUUGUGUCAAAACACACAAAAAAAUUUUGUCUCCUCUGUCUGCUAUGGGUCGCUGAUUGCCAGCGCCUGCAGCUAGCUAGCUGUACUAAAGCUCCGGUCGGGCCGGUCACGUAGUUGUUGACGAGUUGGUGAACUUGUCUUAGCUUAGAUUUCACAUUAUUCAUGCCUACAUGAGCUGCAUACAACUGCUCUAAUCGCUAGGAUUGGGAUGGACAUUGAUUUCAUUUCCAUUCAGCUUUUGGACUGUACCGGUACUGUAACAUAGUAUGGAUGGUCAAUAUGAAGCAAGCUUCAUUGAAUUCCUCCAAGAGCUCUGUACUCUGUUCUGAUUAUUUUGAAGAUGCUUGCUUUGACUGGACUGGGCAAACGAUUCGUCUUAGACAGGAUGCUGCCCCAACCAUAUUUGAUUUCCCGCCUCGUCUUAAGUAGAAAUGACCCAAACCAAGGAAUUCCUGGAAAGAAUUUCGAUUUUGCAAACACCCUCCCAGAUACUGCAAAGACACCUGUACCAAAGUCUUCAGCACCUUCAUUUCUCGAGGACCACUACUACUCAAUACCAGAAAGUCCAAGAGGAGUAAAGUGGAAGUUAACACCAAUAAUGGACUGUUAUUAAAAACUUGGAGAAGAGGCCGAAGACCACACAGAAAUCCUGUAGUGUAGAUCACAUGUACUUGCUGUUAAGUUUGGACAAACAUAAUUUGCACAACUUUACAACAAAUAAUUUACACUGUGUGCAUUCUGAUUAUUUGAAAUAGUUUAUCACUGGGCAUGUAACAAAAGUGAAUUCAUUAAAUAGGAAUGUGUUG